GGCUUCAAAGGGACAGAGGGCAGGAAUCGAUUGGCAAGAGAUUCUCCCUUUGUGAAGGUUGGAGGCCCUGGCACAGGGUGCCCAGAGCAGCUGUGGCUUCCCCUGGAUCCCUGGCAGUGUCCAAGGCCAGGCUGGACGGGGUUUGGAGCAGUCAGAAAAGAAAAAAACCCCCACAUUUUACAUAGUUGGUACAAAAACAAAAAUAAAAUGAACAGAGAGGGGAAAACCUGCAGCAGCAGGAGUUGAGGAUCUCGCUGCAGGGACUCCAGCAGGAAAUGUCUUUGGGAAGUCAGGAAAUGUGCCCAUGGCCAGACGCCCUCCCUGGGAAGACUCCAGCCACCCCCUGGGCUGCAAGAGGAGUGUUCACACCCCAAAACCUGGGAUCCAGAGUUUCUCCCAGCCAUGGCUCUUCCCUUUGGGCCUCCUCUCGCUGCCGAUGCAGAAGACGCCCCCGGGGCCGGUCACCCGGAUGGACUCCAAACCUUUGGAUGAUUUCUUGAAGGUGAACUCGACAGCUUCUCCCUCCUUCAGGCUGCGGAAACCCUCCAUGUGGAGCUUGCUCUGGGGGGCACAGGGAGAGGAUGGGGGUCAGCACGGAGCAGGGCUGUUCUCCAGACACAGCACAAAGCCCUCCUGUGGCACAAGAGCUGCAAAUGUC
Molecule: long non-coding RNA, 658 nt
Organism: Hirundo rustica (Barn swallow)
Lineage: Eukaryota; Metazoa; Chordata; Aves; Passeriformes; Hirundinidae
Exons: 4
Source: RefSeq, a predicted model, not a curated record